This 497-nucleotide ribosomal RNA is filed under the name uncultured bacterium. Its description in RNAcentral is "partial 16S ribosomal RNA". It matches the Rfam family "Bacterial small subunit ribosomal RNA", at positions 28 to 507 of the family's 1533-position model. The record is from RNAcentral.
GAUGAACGCUGGCGGCGUGCCUAAUACAUGCAAGUCGAGCGAACGGACGAGAAGCUUGCUUCUCUGGUGUUAGCGGCGGACGGGUGAGUAACACGUGGAUAACCUACCUAUAAGACUAGGAUAACUUCGGGAAACCGGAGCUAAUACCGGAUGAUAUUUUGAACCGCAUGGUUCAAAAGUGAAAGACGGUCUUGCUGUCACUUAUAGAUGGAUCCGCGCUGCAUUAGCUAGUUGGUAAGGUAACGGCUUACCAAGGCAACGAUGCAUAGCCGACCUGAGAGGGUGAUCGGCCACACUGGAACUGAGCCACGGUCCAGACUCCUACGGGAGGCAGCAGUAGGGAAUCUUCCGCAAUGGGCGAAAGCCUGACGGAGCAACGCCGCGUGAGUGAUGAAGGUCUUCGGAUCGUAAAACUCUGUUAUUAGGGAAGAACAUAUGUGUAAGUAACUGUGCACAUCUUGACGGUACCUAAUCAGAAAGCCACGGCUAACUACGUG